AAAAAUUGGGCAAUGGGACCAUGGUGCAUCAUGCAUGCAACAACUAACCCUUAAUUAAUAGAAAUUGAAGGAGCUCCAAAACUUGUUGUCUCAAGCGCGCUCGCCACCUUUCGUCGGAGCCGUCGAUUUCUCUCUCUCUCUCUCUCUCUCUCUCUCUCUCUCUCCUCAUCCCCUCCCCUUUCUCGUGAGAAAAGGAGAAGAUUGAUCCCAAUUUUGCUGUUUUUCCGUGAAGAAGGAUCAUACAGAUGGAUCAUAACUUGCUAUCUUGGGAUGAUGACAUAAUGGCCCAUCGCCGCCUUAAGAACAGGGAGCGACAAAGAAGAUACAGGGCGAAGAAGCGCCUAGAAGCCGAUAUGUUGAAAUUAAGCAUGUUAGCCCAAAGCUCCAAACCGAGUUCAUCUCAAGCAACUGGAGGUGUUUCUCCAGUGGCUGCUUUUGCAGUUUCCGGGCCAAUAGAACGCGUGCAUUGCGGCCGGAAAUGGAAGAAGGAUGCGAGAAGAGCUCACAUAUCUGAAGAACUAGCCAGCCUUCCUCGCCUUCCUGCUCUUCUCCUUAGGUCUCCUGUACAAACUGAAGCCUGUCACAAGUGCUCUUCCCAACCCACCACCAAAAGGCAGUGGAAAAUGGAGGCGAGAAACAAAAUGGCCGCGACUUAAUAUACUCGAGAAAUGAUCGAUACAGCUGAUCGCGUGCUCCUUCAGAAAUUUAGUUUUUAACAAACAUAGUAAAUAUAACAGACAAAAAACUGAGAGAUCAAAUUACUGUUGGAUUGUAUAUGUGGGUCCUGCAUUUUUAUCAAAUUCUUGAAGACUUUCGUAAUCGUGCUUGUGCUUGUGCUUGUGAGAGUUGGUGUUGAUUGUUUAUUUUUGAUACACUUUCCUAUAUUUUGUAGGGAAAUAAAGAUGUACGGAGAAUAACUGAAGAACAACACAAAGUUCGGUUGAAGAAAUCAUAUAUGGAAAGCAGAAUGAAAAGAAAAAGAAAUGCUUAGAUAUUUGCUUUGAGACUGAAACAUCCCUCAGUGCCAGCAAAUAACAGCAACACUAUAAAGAAAGAUAAAGAGCCGCCGCCGUCCCCGACUAGAGCUGCCAUAUGUAUCACUUUUUCGCAGCCUCAAAUUUGGAUGCACAGCUGAGCAAAGUUCCAUAAGUAGAGCAUCUUCGAGCAUGCAGAUUUUUUAUGCGCAGUUCCACAACAAGUUCUCUCGUAAACUGGUGGAGUUUUUGGAGAGAGUAUAUCUCGGAUUCUGUUGGUUCAUCAUGCUUGCUAGUUACAAAAGCAGGGCAUCUGCAAAAGCGCUUCCUUUAUGCUGCUGCUUUCCACCAUUUGCUUCCUUAGGAAGCCUCAAUCAUCGCAUUUUCUGAUGUUAGCUCCGCCACAAACUUGUCGAAAACGAGUAUUGUAUAGUUUACUUUUUUCCAAUUAAAAAUAGAAAAAACUUUUCGCGCUUCCUUAAUGCCUAAGCCUAUGA
Ananas comosus (pineapple) is the source of this 1471-nucleotide long non-coding RNA. RefSeq lists it as uncharacterized. The record is from RefSeq and is a predicted model, not a curated record. Lineage: Eukaryota; Viridiplantae; Streptophyta; Magnoliopsida; Poales; Bromeliaceae. The transcript has 3 exons.